Molecule: ribosomal RNA, 437 nt
Filed under: uncultured Acidobacteriota bacterium
Lineage: Bacteria; Pseudomonadati; Acidobacteriota
Description: bacterial SSU rRNA
Rfam family: Bacterial small subunit ribosomal RNA
Source: RNAcentral
AGAGUUUGAUCCUGGCUCAGAAUCAACGCUGGCGGCGUGCCUAACACAUGCAAGUCGCACGAGAAAGUCCCCGCAAGGGGAUGAGUAAAGUGGCGUACGGGUGAGUAACACGUGACUAACCUACCCUCGAGUGGGGAAUAACCUCGGGAAACCGGGGCUAAUACCGCAUAACACCUACGGGUCAAAGCCGAAGGCGCUUGAGGAGGGGGUCGCGGCUGAUUAGCUAGUUGGCAGGGUAUGGCCUACCAAGGCAAUGAUCAGUAGCCGGCCUGAGAGGGCGCACGGCCACACUGGAACUGAAACACGGUCCAGACUCCUACGGGAGGCAGCAGUGGGGAUUUUGCACAUGGGGGAAACCUGAUGCAGCACGCCGCGUGGAGGUGAGUCCCUUGGACGUAACUCCUUUCGACGGGACGAUAUGACGGUACGGUGGAAGA